AGAGUUUGAUCAUGGCUCAGGAUGAACGCUAGCUACAGGCUUAACACAUGCAAGUCGAGGGGCAGCAUGGGUCUUAGCUUGCUAAGGCUGAUGGCGACCGGCGCACGGGUGAGUAACACGUAUCCAACCUGCCGUCUACUCUUGGCCAGCCUUCUGAAAGGAAGAUUAAUCCAGGAUGGGAUCAUGAGUUCACAUGUCCGCAUGAUUAAAGGUAUUUUCCGGUAGACGAUGGGGAUGCGUUCCAUUAGAUAGUAGGCGGGGUAACGGGCCCACCUAGUCAACGAUGGAUAGGGGUUCUGAGAGGAAGGUCCCCCACCAUUGGAACUGAGACACAGUCCAAACUCCUACGGGAGGCAGCA
RNAcentral lists this ribosomal RNA (359 nucleotides) under uncultured bacterium. RNAcentral describes it as "bacterial SSU rRNA". It matches the Rfam family "Bacterial small subunit ribosomal RNA", at positions 8 to 353 of the family's 1533-position model. The record is from RNAcentral.